GGAUUUAUUGGGCGUAAAGCGAGCGCAGGCGGUUAGAUAANUCUGAAGUUAAAGGCUGUGGCUUAACCAUAGUAUGCUUUGGAAACUGUUUAACUUGAGUGCAGAAGGGGAGAGUGGAAUUCCAUGUGUAGCGGUGAAAUGCGUAGAUAUAUGGAGGAACACCGGUGGCGAAAGCGGCUCUCUGGUCUGUAACUGACGCUGAGGCUCGAAAGCGUGGGGAGCAGACAGGAUUAGAUACCCUGGUAGUCCACGCCGUAAACGAUGAGUGCUAGGUGUUAGGCCCUUUCCGGGGCCUAGUGCCGCAGCUAACGCAUUAAGCACUCCGCCUGGGGAGUACGACCGCAAGGUUGAAACUCAAAGGAAUUGACGGGGGCCCGCACAAGCGGUGGAGCAUGUGGUUUAAUUCGAAGCAACGCGAAGAACCUUACCAGGUCUUGACAUCCCUCUGACCGCUCUAGAGAUAGAGUUUUCCUUCGGGACAGAGGUGACAGGUGGUGCAUGGUUGUCGUCAGCUCGUGUCGUGAGAUGUUGGGUUAAGUCCCGCAACGAGCGCAACCCCUAUUGUUAGUUGCCAUCAUUCAGUUGGGCACUCUAGCGAGACUGCCGGUAAUAAACCGGAGGAAGGUGGGGAUGACGUCAAAUCAUCAUGCCCCUUAUGACCUGGGCUACACACGUGCUACAAUGGCUGGUACAACGAGUCGCAAGCCGGUGACGGCAAGCUAAUCUCUGAAAGCCAGUCUCAGUUCGGAUUGUAGGCUGCAACUCGCCUACAUGAAGUCGGAAUCGCUAGUAAUCGCGGAUCAGCACGCCGCGGUGAAUACGUUCCCGGGCCUUGUACACACC
This 843-nucleotide ribosomal RNA is filed under the name uncultured bacterium. Its description in RNAcentral is "bacterial SSU rRNA". It matches the Rfam family "Bacterial small subunit ribosomal RNA", at positions 547 to 1391 of the family's 1533-position model. The record is from RNAcentral.